Molecule: ribosomal RNA, 253 nt
Filed under: uncultured bacterium
Lineage: Bacteria
Description: partial 16S ribosomal RNA
Rfam family: Bacterial small subunit ribosomal RNA
Source: RNAcentral
UACGUAGGGUGCGAGCGUUAAUCGGAAUUACUGGGCGUAAAGCGUGCGCAGGCGGUUCGUUAUGUCCGAUGUGAAAGCCCCGAGCUCAAUUUGGGAAUGGCAUUGGAAACUGGCGGGCUGGAGUGUGGCAGAGGGGGGUGGAAUUCCACGUGUAGCAGUGAAAUGCGUAGAGAUGUGGAGGAACACCGAUGGCGAAGGCAGCCCCCUGGGCCAACACUGACGCUCAGGCACGAAAGCGUGGGGAGCAAACAGG